RNAcentral lists this ribosomal RNA (918 nucleotides) under Triticum aestivum (bread wheat). RNAcentral describes it as "partial small subunit ribosomal RNA". Lineage: Eukaryota; Viridiplantae; Streptophyta; Magnoliopsida; Poales; Poaceae. The record is from RNAcentral.
GCAGGGGUGCAGCCGAAUGAGCUGACGGUGAGCAGCGUGCUGCCCGCGUGCGCGGCUGUUGGGGCCAUGGAGCUGGGGAGGAAGGUGGAGGAGUACGCGAGGGGCAAAGGCCACCUGGUGAAUGUGUAUGUGGCCAAUGCACUGCUGGAGAUGUAUGCCAAGUGUGGCAGCAUCCAGAGAGCUUGGCAGGUGUUUCAGGGGAUCGGUCGUCGGCGAGAUCUCUGUUCUUCGAACUCAAUGAUCAUGGCAUUCGCCUUGCAUGGCUCCUGGAGGGAAGCACUUGCCUUGUUCCAUAAGUUGAGGAUGACAGGGGCUAAACCAGAUGGUAUCACAUUUGUUGGAGUCAUUUUGGCUUGCACUCAUGGAGGUUUGGUAGAUGAAGGAAAGCUACUCUUCAACUCCAUGGAGGCCGAAUUUAGUAUUACUCCAAGAAUUGAGCACUAUGGUUGCAUGGUUGAUCUGCUUGGGCGUGCUGGUCUCCUGAAUGAAGCCUACAGUAUGAUAGUAAGCAUGCCAGUGGAGCCUGACGCCGUCAUCUGGGGAGCCUUGCUCGGUGCCUGCAGCUUCCAUGGAAACGUAGAACUAGCGGAAACAGCAGUAAACAAACUCAUCUUUCUUGAGCCACAAAACACUGGAAAUCUGGUGAUCCUGUCAAACAUAUACGCGUCGUCUGGAAAAUGGGACGGUGUUGCCCAGGUAUGGAAGUUACUCAAGGAGAAAGACCACAAGAAAUCAGCUGGGUACAGCUUCAUAGAGCUAGAUGGCAGGAUGCACAAGUUCCUUGUUGAGGAUAAGUCACAUCCAAGAUUUGUGGAGGUGUACAGCACCCUUGACAGUGUCACAAUGCUCAUGAAGCUUGUCGGACUAGAAAAUGAGGAAGAAGCGGAACAGCUGUUUCUGUCACCUGUAGAGAUCUAA